RNAcentral lists this ribosomal RNA (255 nucleotides) under uncultured bacterium. Its description in RNAcentral is "partial 16S ribosomal RNA". It matches the Rfam family "Bacterial small subunit ribosomal RNA", at positions 524 to 776 of the family's 1533-position model. The record is from RNAcentral.
UACGUAGGGGGCAAGCGUUGUCCGGAUUUAUUGGGCGUAAAGAGCGUGUAGGCGGCCAGAUAGGUCUGUUGUGAAAACUCGAGGCUCAACCUCGAGACGCCGAUGGAAACCAUUUGGCUAGAGUCCGGAAGAGGAGAGUGGAAUUCCUGGUGUAGCGGUGAAAUGCGCAGAUAUCAGGAGGAACACCGGUGGCGAAGGCGGGGUCUCUGGGCAGUAACUGACGCUGGAGGAGCGAAAGCGUGGGGAGCGAACAGG